Long non-coding RNA from Cebus imitator (Panamanian white-faced capuchin), 621 nucleotides. RefSeq lists it as uncharacterized. The transcript has 5 exons. The record is from RefSeq and is a predicted model, not a curated record. NCBI's taxonomy places the organism in Eukaryota, Metazoa, Chordata, Mammalia, Primates, Cebidae.
CCAUCCCAUCUCUUCAUCCAAGCAGAGGCCUUGCAGCAACCCAUGAGAUCUAUGAUGACCGCCCCCAUUUGCCAGAUGAAAAGCUGAGGAUUGGAGCUGUGAAGGAACCUGUCCAGCAUGACACAGUCCUGAGCCUUUCUCAAUCUGUUCUCACUGAACCUUGGAUUUUACCAUCUGUUUUCGGGUUUCCAAACUCACCUCAUCUUGGGUUAAUGUUCCUGCUACUCUGACGCCUACGUAAGUGGUUGAUGCUCCUUCCUGGUUCUUCCAGGCAUCCUGGGAAGUGGCCACUCACCUCCAAAGAACAAGAGUGUUAGGCUGGUCCACAGAGGGACACUGUUGGUGGCCGGCAAGGGGUGGGUGGCGAGGUGGAAGCCGCGUUAGUUCAACUCUUUCUCUCCACACUGACAGGCGCUGUGUCUCGGAAGAGCCAGAGCCCAUCAGCAUUGAUCAACGAGACGCAAGAGUCAGAGUUUUAUCCAGGGAUAAUUGGUAUGCCACUAAACAGCACACAGUUCAUGUAUACCAUCUGAGAGUUUAGACAUAGGCAGACACGCCAGAAAUCACCACGAUCAAGGUAACACACAUAUCCAUCACGCCCAGACGUAUCCUUGUGCCCCC